Molecule: ribosomal RNA, 418 nt
Filed under: uncultured bacterium
Lineage: Bacteria
Description: bacterial SSU rRNA
Rfam family: Bacterial small subunit ribosomal RNA
Source: RNAcentral
AGGAAUAUUGGACAAUGGAGGCAACUCUGAUCCAGCCAUCCCGCGUGCAGGAUGACGGCCCUAUGGGUUGUAAACUGCUUUUGUUAGGGAAGAACUCCCCGGAUUUAUCCGGGGCUGACGGUACCUUUCGAAUAAGCACCGGCUAACUCCGUGCCAGCAGCCGCGGUAAUACGGAGGGUGCAAGCGUUAUCCGGAAUUACUGGGUUUAAAGGGUGCGUAGGCGGCGCAUUAAGUCAGAGGUGAAAGGCCGUGGCUCAACCAUGGAAUUGCCUUUGAUACUGAAGUGCUUGAAUCAGGUUGAGGACAGCGGAAUGUGGCAUGUAGCGGUGAAAUGCAUAGAUAUGCCAUAGAACACCGAUUGCGAAGGCAGCUGUCUGGGCCUGGAUUGACGCUGAGGCACGAAAGCGUGGGGAGCGAA